This 283-nucleotide unclassified non-coding RNA is filed under the name plant metagenome. Its description in RNAcentral is "partial contains small subunit ribosomal RNA, internal transcribed spacer 1, and 5.8S ribosomal RNA". The stretch from base 1 to 52 matches the Rfam family "Eukaryotic small subunit ribosomal RNA", at positions 1779 to 1831 of the family's 1831-position model. The record is from RNAcentral.
GAAGUAAAAGUGUAACAAGGUUUCCGUAGGUGAACCUGCGGAAGGAUCAUUAUUGUAUAACCGAGGUGCGAGGGCUGUCGCUGACCCGAAAGGUCGUGCACGCCCGAGUGCCCUCACACACAUCCAUCUCACCCCUAUGUGCACCACCGCGUGGGUCCCCCUUUGGCUUGUUCGGAGGGGGGCUUACGUUUUCACACAAACUUUGUAUGCAGUGUAGAAUGUAUUUUUUGUUUUUGCGAUCACGCAAUCAAUACGACUUUCAACAACGGAUCUCUUGGCUCUC